Molecule: long non-coding RNA, 517 nt
Organism: Paramormyrops kingsleyae
Lineage: Eukaryota; Metazoa; Chordata; Actinopteri; Osteoglossiformes; Mormyridae
Source: RefSeq, a predicted model, not a curated record
CUUUUCAAAAAUCAACGCGUCUCGAGUCACGAGUUCACGAACCGCGCUGAGGAGUGAGCACUGCAGUUUGUCUGGGCGGGAAUCUGAAGAAAGCUGGUUCUUGUGAAGAUGCAGUGGAAGUGUAAAUACUAUAUCUAAACUACCCCAAGUCUAUGAAGCUCACAUUUCAGUUCAUCCAACAGGUUCUUCUCACGUUGGGUCACAGUGAACUGAGACCAAGGCUACAAACACUGAAAAACCAGCUUGAAAUGUAAAGAAAUGUGUCAAGUAUGCUGUGAACAGCCAUAAUUUUAUUAUUUUCAGUCACUUUCAGAUGUGGCCAAAGUCAAGGUGUUGAAUGUAGGUUGUUAUACAGUUUGGUGUUCUUAAAGGAAGCCUUUGCUAUACAAAUAAUUUUUUGCUGUGCCUCUUACAAAUAUGCAAUUGUUCAGAAACGAGUUUGUUGGGGGGGUUUUUUGGGUUGUGCAAUACUGCAGAAUUAUUUUGCACUAUUUUGUGAAAAAAUGUUUUCUUAAUA